Molecule: ribosomal RNA, 485 nt
Filed under: uncultured bacterium
Lineage: Bacteria
Description: partial 16S ribosomal RNA
Rfam family: Bacterial small subunit ribosomal RNA
Source: RNAcentral
AUUGAACGCUGGCGGCAUGCCUUACACAUGCAAGUCGAACGGCAGCACGGGUGCUUGCACCUGGUGGCGAGUGGCGAACGGGUGAGUAAUACAUCGGAACGUACCUUAUCGUGGGGGAGAACGCAGCGAAAGUUGCGCUAAUACUGCAUACGACUUUAUGGGGAAAGCGGGGGACCUAAAGGCCUCGCGCUUUUAGAGCGGCCGAUGUUUGAUUAGCUUGUUGGUGAGUAAAAAGCUAACCAAGGAACUGAUCAGUAACUGGUCCGAGAGGACGAUCAGCCCACCGGGACCUGAGCACCGGCCCAGCUCCCUACGGGAGGCAGAGGUGGGAAAUUUUGGAAAAGGGCGGCAACCCUGCGCCAGCAAUGCCGCGUGAGUGAAGAAGGCCUUCGGGUUGUAAAGCCCUUUUGUCAGGGAAGAAACAGCAGCACUAACCCAGGCUGCGAAUGACGGUACCUGAAGAAUAAGCCCCGGCUAACUACGUG